This 256-nucleotide ribosomal RNA is filed under the name uncultured bacterium. RNAcentral's name for it is "partial 16S ribosomal RNA". It matches the Rfam family "Bacterial small subunit ribosomal RNA", at positions 524 to 776 of the family's 1533-position model. The record is from RNAcentral.
UACGUAGGUGGCAAGCGUUGUCCGGAUUUAUUGGGUUUAAAGGGUGCGUAGGCGGUUGUAUAAGUCAGUGCUGAAAUAUCCCAGCUUAACUGGGAGGGUGGCAUUGAUACUGUAUGACUUGAGUAGAGUUGAGGUUGGCGGAAUUGACGGUGUAGCGGUGAAAUGCUUAGAUAUCGUCAAGAACACCGAUAGUGAAGACAGCUAACUAAGCUCUAACUGACGCUGAGGCACGAAAAGUGUGGGGGAUCAAAACAGG